Molecule: ribosomal RNA, 250 nt
Filed under: uncultured Candidatus Woesearchaeota archaeon
Lineage: Archaea; Nanobdellati; Candidatus Woesearchaeota
Description: partial 16S ribosomal RNA
Rfam family: Archaeal small subunit ribosomal RNA
Source: RNAcentral
CACCAGCGCCACAAGUGGCAAUCGCAUAUUGGGCCUAAAGCGUCCGUAGUUGGUUUGGUACAUCUCUUGUGAAAUUGUUGAGCUUAACUCAACAGCGUGCGGGAGACACGGCCUUACUUGGAACCGGGAGGAGUCAGAAGUAUUUCGGGGGGAGCGGUAAAAUGUGAUAAUCCUCGAAGGACUACCUGUGGCAAAGGCGUCUGACUAGAACGGAUUCGACAAUCAGGGACGAAGGCUAGGGGAGCAAACC